RNAcentral lists this ribosomal RNA (253 nucleotides) under uncultured bacterium. Its description in RNAcentral is "partial 16S ribosomal RNA". It matches the Rfam family "Bacterial small subunit ribosomal RNA", at positions 524 to 776 of the family's 1533-position model. The record is from RNAcentral.
UACGUAGGGGGCAAGCGUUGUCCGGAUUUAUUGGGCGUAAAGCGCGCGUAGGCGGCCACUUAAGUCGGAUGUGAAAGCUCCUGGCUCAACUGGGGAAGUGCACCCGAAACUGAAUGGCUUGAGUGCGAAAGAGGGUCGCGGAAUUCCCGGUGUAGAGGUGAAAUUCGUAGAUAUCGGGAGGAACACCGGUGGCGAAGGCGGCGACCUGGGUCGACACUGACGCUGAGGCGCGAAAGCGUGGGGAGCAAACAGG